GAUGAACGCUGGCGGCGUGCUUAAUACAUGCAAGUCGAGCGAACGGACGUGAAUCUUGCUUCGCUCUUGUUAGCGGCGGACGGGUGAGUAACACGUGGAUAACAAACCUAUAAGACUGCGAUUACUUCGGGAAACCGGAGCUAAUACCGGAUAAUAUUAUCAACCGCAGGGUUGAAAAGUGAAUGAUGGUCUUGCUGUCACUUAUAGAUGGAUCCGGGUCGCAUUAGCUAGUUGGUAAGGUAACGGCUUACUAAGGCAACGAUGCAUAGGCAACCUGAGAGGAUGAUCGGCCACACUGGGACUGAGUCACCAUCCAGACUACAACGGGGGACAGCAGUAGGGAAUUGUCCGGAAUGGGCGAAAGCAUAACGGAGCAAAGGCGCGUAGGUGAUGAAGGCCGUGGAGUCGUAAGCCUCUGUUUUUAGGGAUAGACAUAUUUGUAAGUAACUGAGCACGACUUGACGGUACCUAAGCAAGAAGCCUCGGCUAACUACGUG
This 497-nucleotide ribosomal RNA is filed under the name uncultured bacterium. RNAcentral describes it as "partial 16S ribosomal RNA". It matches the Rfam family "Bacterial small subunit ribosomal RNA", at positions 28 to 507 of the family's 1533-position model. The record is from RNAcentral.